AAAGAUAUUUCUUUUACUAAACUAAACUGACAUAACUGGUAAACAUUAUAAUGAAAAAUUACGAUUAAUCUCCAAUCAUUACCAUAAUAUAUAUCAUACUUUUUUACACAUGUACAUACGUAUGCUUCUCAAAAUAGAAUCCAAAUAUAAAUAACCGUCUGCCACUCCACUUCAACCUCUUCCAUCCAAUCACGACCAUCAUUAACCCUUAAAUCCCAUUAAAUCCCCUCCCUCAUACCAACUCUCAUCGCACACUCUCACAUCGGAAUCUCGCCUCUGAUACAAAUAUCAAAAAGCGAGGCGUCUCAAGGCCACGUUUAGAACCGCCUCGAUUUUUCCAACUGCACCUACGGCUAGGUAGACAGAUCGAUUCAUAGCAAGUGUGUGCGUGUGUAUAAAUGUGCGAGUGCGUGAAGUAUCUACAGCCGCUUCCGACGUCGUAAAUCAAGAUGACCGAUUCGAGAGAAGAGGCCCUUAGCUCGGUGUGUAUCUGCGACCUUCUCGCUCCCUCUCUCCGCGAAAUAAUCGACCACGUUCCUGCGUUCCACGUCUACACGGGAGCGUGUCGAGGAUGCUGGCCCCUUGGGCGGGCAAGGCCAGUGACCAGAUCGACCAGUAUCUGAGAUCUUGUGUUCAACUUGGAAAAUACAUGGAUUAUUAUUAAGAAUUCCUGGCUACCGUCCAACCAGUAUCGUGAGAACGGGGUCGAAGGAUUUUCCAACCUGAAAAUAAGAAGAUGAGAAUGAAAAAGAAGAUAGCCUUGGAAGAUUGUUUCUUCUUUGACAUGUGGAAAGUGGACAAAUAGGAUGCAAUAACAAUAGUCAAGAAUAUGUCGUAUAUUGGUAGAAGCGGUUUACAUUCAUGACAGGAACAAUGUGAUUGGGAUUUGAUGGAUAUGGAACAGACUUGUAGAUCAAGGUUUGGGAAUAAAGAAGCUAUUUAUGAAUAGAAUGAAAGAAAUGCUUAUAAUACAGAAAUCUCAAAUUUCUAAGUAAGAAAUUUUAGAUAAAUACUCUUAAAAUUGUGAAACAUCAAAAAAAAAAAAAUUAAUUAUUUUUAAUCAUUUUAAAUUCAACGAACCAAUAUUUUUUUGAUUUAUGUAUCUUGAAAUAAAUAAUAUGAAUAAUGAUGUAUUAUAAUAUUCAUGAAAUAUCCUCAGAAAGUUAAUUCUAGAUAUUAAAACAAACACAAAAGUUGAUAUAUAAAAAUUCAAUUGCACUAAACGAUAGAAUUCAUAAUAAAGCAGCAAAUAUACAAACAAAAAAUUUAAAAAAAAUAUACUGUUACUUUUCAUUUUAAUCCAAUCUUCAAAUCCAAGAAUACAUAACCUAACUUAACCUAACUUCUGUUGCGCGUACAUAUAUAGAGCCGAAGACAAGUGGUCAUGCCGAGUUGUAAAUCGCCGUCUCUCAGGUCUCGCGUGUUAUCUGGUCAUUGGAUGAAACAGCACGCGGAAUA
Molecule: long non-coding RNA, 1458 nt
Organism: Apis laboriosa (Himalayan honeybee)
Lineage: Eukaryota; Metazoa; Arthropoda; Insecta; Hymenoptera; Apidae
Exons: 3
Source: RefSeq, a predicted model, not a curated record